Molecule: ribosomal RNA, 467 nt
Filed under: uncultured bacterium
Lineage: Bacteria
Description: partial 16S ribosomal RNA
Rfam family: Bacterial small subunit ribosomal RNA
Source: RNAcentral
GACGAACGCUGGCGGCGUGCUUAACACAUGCAAGUCGAACGGAAAGGCCCUGCUUUUGUGGGGUGCUCGAGUGGCGAACGGGUGAGUAACACGUGAGUAACCUGCCCUUGACUUUGGGAUAACUUCAGGAAACUGGGGCUAAUACCGGAUAGGAGCUCCUGCUGCAUGGUGGGGGUUGGAAAGUUUCGGCGGUUGGGGAUGGACUCGCGGCUCAUCAGCUUGUUGGUGGGGUAGUGGCUUACCAAGGCUUUGACGGGUAGCCGGCCUGAGAGGGUGACCGGCCACAUUGGGACGGAGAUACGGCCCAGACUCCUACGGGGGGCAGAAGGGGGGAAUAUUGCACAAGGGGCGGAAGCCUGAUGCAGCAACGCCGGGUGGGGGAUGACGGCCUUCGGGUGGUAAACCGCUUUCGCCUGUGACGAAGCGUGAGGGACGGGAAUGGGUAAAGAAGCACCGGCAAACUACGU